GUGGGGAAUUUUGGACAAUGGGGGCAACCCUGAUCCAGCCAUGCCGCGUGCGGGAAGAAGGCCUUCGGGUUGUAAACCGCUUUCGGACGGAAAGAAAUCGCAUGGGUUAAUACCCUGUGUGGAUGACGGUACCGUAAGAAGAAGCACCGGCUAACUACGUGCCAGCAGCCGCGGUAAUACGUAGGGUGCGAGCGUUAAUCGGAAUUACUGGGCGUAAAGCGUGCGCAGGCGGUUUCUUAAGCCAGACGUGAAAUCCCCGGGCUUAACCUGGGAACUGCGUUUGGAACUGGGAGACUAGAGUGUGUCAGAGGGAGGUGGAAUUCCGCGUGUAGCAGUGAAAUGCGUAGAUAUGCGGAGGAACACCGAUGGCGAAGGCAGCCUCCUGGGAUGACACUGACGCUCAUGCACGAAAGCGUGGGGAGCAAACAGGAUUAGAUACCCGAGUAGUCC
RNAcentral lists this ribosomal RNA (450 nucleotides) under uncultured bacterium. Its description in RNAcentral is "bacterial SSU rRNA". It matches the Rfam family "Bacterial small subunit ribosomal RNA", at positions 354 to 796 of the family's 1533-position model. The record is from RNAcentral.